Molecule: ribosomal RNA, 555 nt
Filed under: uncultured Lachnospiraceae bacterium
Lineage: Bacteria; Bacillati; Bacillota; Clostridia; Lachnospirales; Lachnospiraceae
Description: bacterial SSU rRNA
Rfam family: Bacterial small subunit ribosomal RNA
Source: RNAcentral
CAGGGGGAUAACAGUCAGAAAUGGCUGCUAAUACCGCAUAAGCGCACAGAGCUGCAUGGCUCAGUGUGAAAAACUCCGGUGGUAUAAGAUGGACCCGCGUUGGAUUAGCUAGUUGGUGGGGUAACGGCCCACCAAGGCGACGAUCCAUAGCCGGCCUGAGAGGGUGAACGGCCACAUUGGGACUGAGACACGGCCCAGACUCCUACGGGAGGCAGCAGUGGGGAAUAUUGCACAAUGGGGGGAACCCUGAUGCAGCGACGCCGCGUGAAGGAAGAAGUAUCUCGGUAUGUAAACUUCUAUCAGCAGGGAAGAUAGUGACGGUACCUGACUAAGAAGCCCCGGCUAACUACGUGCCAGCAGCCGCGGUAAUACGUAGGGGGCAAGCGUUAUCCGGAUUUACUGGGUGUAAAGGGAGCGUAGACGGUGUGGCAAGUCUGAUGUGAAAGGCAUGGGCUCAACCUGUGGACUGCAUUGGAAACUGUCAUACUUGAGUGCCGGAGGGGUAAGCGGAAUCCCUAGUGUAGCGGUGAAAUGCGUAGAUAUUAGGAGGAACAC